UCCUCAGACUUCAAGCUUCAGGACUGCAUUUAUCCUCAGAGCCUUAAGCUUCAGGACUGCAUUUAUCCUCAGACAUCAAGCUUCAGGACAGCAUUUCUCCUCAGACCUCAAGCUUCAGGACAGCAUUUCUCCUCAGACCUCAAGCUUCAGGACAGCAUUUCUCCUCAGACCUCAAGCUUCAGGACAGCAUCUAUCCUCAGAUCUAAAGCUUCAGGACAGCAUUUCUACUUAUACCUCAAGCUUCAGGACUGCAUUUAUCAUCAGACCUCAAGCUUCAGGACUGCAUUUCUCCUAAGACCUCAAGCUUCAAGACUGCAUUUCUCCUCAGACCUCAAGCUUCAGGACUAUUUUUUGUCCUCAGACCUCAAUCUUCAGGACUGCAUUUAUCCUCAGAGCCUUAAGCUUCAGGACUGCAUUUAUUCUCAGACCUCAAGUUUCAGGUCUGCCUUUAUUCUCAGACCUCAAGUUACAGGACUGCAUUUCUCCUCAGACCUCAAGCUUCAGGACUGCAUUUAUACUCAGACCUCAAGCUUCAGGACAGCAUUUGUACUUAUACCUCGAGCUUAAGGACUGCAUUUAUCCUCAGACCUCAAUCUUCAGGACUGCAUCUAUCCUCAGACCUCAAUCUUCAGGACAUCAUCUAUACUCAGAUCUAAAGCUUUAGGACUGCAUUUAUUCUCAGACCUCAAGUUUCAGGACUGCAUUUAUACUCAGACCUCAAGCUUCAGGACAGCAUUUGUACUUAUACCUCAAGCUUCAGGACAGCAUUUAUACUCAGACCUCAAGCUUCAGGACUGCAUUUCUCCUUAGACCUCAAGCUUCAGGACUGCAUUUCUCCUCAGACCUUAAUCUUCAGGACAGCAUCUAUCCUCAGAUCUAAAGCUUUAGGACUGCAUUUAUUCUCAGACCUCAAGUUUCAGGACUGCAUUGCUCCUUAGACCUCUAACUUCAGGACUGCAUUUGUUCCCAAGAUCUAAAGCUUCAGAACUAGUUUGUACUCAAGAUCUAAAGCUUCUGUACUGUAUUUGUCCUCAAGAAGUAAAGUGCAUUUAUCCUCAGACCUAACUCUGGUCAGCUGAAGAUAGUUAGAAUUGUAUUCUUAAAGUAUUGUAUUUGUAUUUAUUGCUGAAUUCUAUAUGAACACUUCCUGUGAUACAGUAUGAAUGUAGGCCCUGGUCUUAUAGCUGCAUUACUACAUACUGCCAGUUUCCAUAGUUACCUGAUGGUGUUCUGGGGAUUUCACUCUCUUUAAGCAGCCAUACAUCACUUACAUCUAUUAGAGGUAGCUUUUCUAUACAGUUCCACUGGCUGACCGUGAACAGGGGAGAGAAAGAUGAGAGAGAAAGAGAUAGAGGGAGAAAGAAGAUGGGAUGCAGAAAUGGGGGGGGGGGGGGAGAAGAGAAAGGUCAGAGAUAUAGGCUAUCAGGUAAAUCAGACUGUCUACACUGUUAUUUGUAGUGAUCAGAUUGGAUUUGUGUGUCUGGACAGCAACAGUAACAUCCCAUCAGUUUUACCCGCUGUAAACUACUGUAAACAGUUUCUCAUUAAAACUGAUCCUGCUUAGGGAGAGUGUAAAUAAAUUAGAUUAAUGGUGGUGUUUCCA
RNAcentral lists this long non-coding RNA (1603 nucleotides) under Astyanax mexicanus (Mexican tetra). Its description in RNAcentral is "lncRNA (ENSAMXG00005002035.1)". The record is from RNAcentral. Lineage: Eukaryota; Metazoa; Chordata; Actinopteri; Characiformes; Acestrorhamphidae.